RNAcentral lists this long non-coding RNA (10803 nucleotides) under Gallus gallus (chicken). The record is from RNAcentral. Lineage: Eukaryota; Metazoa; Chordata; Aves; Galliformes; Phasianidae.
GUCAUACUGUUGCAGUGGGGAAUGGCCAAAGUAUCUGCCAUCAGAUAGGAGUUCUGUGCCCUCCUGGAGUGUUCUGGAGUUAACAGUGGUUGCACAUACACUACUCAGUCUGGUUUCUUACCUGAAGUACUGGGAUGAACGCAGGGCCGGAGCGGGAUGCUUUUUGGCUUGUAAACAACUGUGUUACCCUUGAAGAAGUUUUCUGUAUUUUUAAUUUUCUAAAUGAAUGUUUUCACAGUUUUGGUGGCUCAAAAUCAUGACGUUUGUGUGAUGGGCCUGGAAAAGAUGACACAGAACUGAGCAAAUGCCUUCUCUGGACUUCAGCUUCCCUCUUGAUACAAUGAGAAUGAAACUGCAAUUCACUUCACCAUCUCUGGAAAGGAAAACUGGGUGUAUAUGGAGGAUCCUCUUUCAUAACACUGUUCAGAAGGAGAUCAGCAGCUUUGUGGCCAAGUGUGAAGAUGACAGUGUUGAAAAUGAAGGAGAAUCUUAGGUCAUAAAUAAUUGCCUUGUGACCCAAACGACGGUUUGAACCAGUGGAAGAGAAUUCAGUAGUGGAAGAGCAGCUAUCUGUUCUCCUGGAAGCAUUCCAGAAGCACUAAAGUUGCCCAUAAAGUGAUGUUUUGAAGACUAGUCCAGCUGUUUCCAGUGCCUAUUUUUCAUUCCUUGGAGUGGACGGCCUCCUUUUUGAAUGUUGCUGCAUGGAGAGAGAAGAGAGUGAAGAGUUGGACCAGGAGGAUGGAAAGGAGAGGAAUGGAGUGGUGAAUGUUAAGUGGGGAUCAUUAGAAGAAGGGCCUGGACCCUUAGGGAAAAUGAUCUCAAUGAUAUCAUCAUGAUUUAGUUUCUGGAGCCAAAUGAAUGAUGGCAGGAGUUCACUAUUGUGGCAACAUCAAACAGUGACAAAUUAGAGAGCACUGAAUUCAAGAUUUUCUGCGCUGCCUUCACUUAUUCCCCCUAUGCUCUACUGCAUUCUGAUAACAGACUGGUAAUUUCAGCACCCAGCAAUAGCAGAUGGAAUCUAUUCAUCAUCCCAAUGACCCGGCACAUCAUAACCCACUCAUCAUCCAAUGACCCAGCACAUCGGCUGGAGGAACAGCACAGUGAGUUCCAGAGGUAAUGGCAAGCCAAAUAAUUAGAAGCCUGGCUCCCAGGGAUGAUUUGAGGAUUAAUGGCUGUUUGUAGAGUGCUUGGAGUUCCCCAGCUGCAGCGUGCGUUUAGCUCUGGGGCACAGCAGGCUGCAGGUGCUGGGCAGUGGGAGUGCAGCCCCAGUACUGUGGCUGGCCCGGUGCAGGUCUGUGUACCAGUCUGCAGUACCUCGGCGCUGCUGAGCUAUCAGGAGUAAACGAAGAAAACAGCUUGAGUGGCCUCCUGAUGCCAGCCAGAGCUUCCUUGUUCUUUUCCCCUUGGAAGCCCAUGGGUGACCUCCACAGACUGCAUUGAGCCACAUCUCAAGUGUGCCGGAGCUAACAUGCCACAGAAGGCUGUGACUCGUCGGGGCUGGGACCAUUCACUGUCACUAUCACAAGUGGAGAAACUUUUCUGUCAGGUGCCUGCGCAGUGUCUGAGACCCAGCCUGGCUUUUACAGCCCUAGAAGGAAGUGCUGAGUGCAUUGCUUUCUAAUCUUGCCCAGGGAGGUUUUCAGAGGAGAGGCUGUGCUGUAGGAAUCAGUGUAGGAUACAGAUGGAUCCAGCCAGCUUGCACUUGUUUGAGUCCACGAGGAGCAGUCGUGGGCCAGGCACUCGGGGAAAGUUCCCUUUGUCCCAUGGGAGAAGCACGUGGGCUUGGAAAGAUCCUUGAACCUGCGGAGGGGAGGAAUUUCUCCUUGGGCCUCAGAUGUCCCCCAGGGUGGUGCGGGGAGGAGCCCGAUGCUCCCAGCAUUGUCCGAGGCAGCAGCUGGUGGUGCUGUGUGACAAGGUUCUGCUGGCGCUGAGGUGCAGUGCUCAAGUGUGCUAGCAGGGGCAAUGACCCCUGGGGGAGUGGAACAGGUCAGGUUAUGGCUGCGGAGUCUGUCUUCUGUACAGAGGCAGUGAGCCCAUCCCAAGCUCCUUACCGCUCAUCCCAUCCUCUGGGGGAUGGAGAACUGCUUUUUUCCUUCCCCCUGUAGCGCCAGGAGAGCAAUCAGAACCUCUGAGCUAUGGAACAUCCUCCUUUCCCUCCUCCUCCUCUAGGAGGCCUGUUUUAACCUUUUGUCCCAUGCAGCAGCAAUGUCCAUAUGGCCCUUCACCUGCUAGGGCAAUGUUCCUUGUGGUCUCUCAGCCCAUGUGCUGAAUGCCACUCCUAUCCCAUUCCACCCUCCCUUUGGGUUUUGAGAUGCGAUUGAUCCGUUCUGCAAGUUCACACUGUGCUAACUCAGCACUCCCUGCAGUAUGUCCAACACUGUCCUGCUAAAAAAAAAGAAGUCACUUCUGGUAUUCAAGGGUCCUCAACCAAUGUCAUUUUUGUCCAUUGGGUUGGGAGAAAUUUACUGGGGGACAAUCGUGUCAUCUGAUCUUUGGCAAAAUGCUUCUCUUUGAAACCUUGACUCUUGGUUACGGGUAAUGCAGAUGAGAGUGCUGUGUCCAAUCUCCUCCAAGGAGAGCAGCGUGCUGAAGGGGAAUUAAAGGGCCAUGGGAAUUCUCAGCAUAAUUUUAUUAUGGUGACCUUUAAGGAGACGGUGGGGGGAUGGGUGAAGAACACAGAGAAGACACUGAGAACAGACCACACAGACAGCGCUUAAGGGGGGGAAAGCAAACCCAAAGCAAGUUAGGAAGGGAGACAGGAGAGGAGAGAGAUGGAGCAGAGACUGAAUGAGGCUGGCAAGGAAUGGCGGAGCCACCUCCUUCCAGUUUAUCCAGGGAGUGACAGGAGUAGAUUUGGGGCUCUCCAUCCAUGAAAAACACCCUUCUGUGCAUCGUUCUCCAUUUUCCUGAAAUCUCUGCUUUUCUUCCUCCAGGCAACCAUUAAUCUAAUAUUAAGCCCCUUAACCUCUCUAAUUGUUCCCUUUCAGUGUCAGCUGGUUUCCUAUUAACCUUUCAAUCUCUCCGUAAUGCAGUUACUUCUGAUUCCAGCCAGCCCUGGCUCUAAAGCUUUACCUCCGGCAGUGAAUUUUCCAAGCUUUCCCUUUUUUUUUUUCUCUUUCUUUUCUGUAAUGAUUAUAACUGCUGUUAAGGAGCCAGUUUGAACCAGCCUCUAAAUGCACAGGGCUGAACCACUUGGAGUCUAUAAAUAGCCCUUUGCUAACCUUGGGCCUUAUUUCGUUAAGUUGAUUGGCCUCUCUCUCUCCACUCCGUUGCAUCUCCCUCUCUCUCCUCUCUCCAUUAUUGAUGCUGGUUCUUUUGUUGCUAUCUGACACACCUUCUUGUUGAUAACAGGGUUGGUCAGUGCUAAGUUUUUCCCUCCUGAACAAAAUAGUAUCGUUGCUGGGGAAGUGUCCCUAGAAUUUUUUUAACAAGGAAAGCAGAGAGUGAGACAGGCCUGAAGCAGCAGGUCUGAAAACAACCGUGCCGUGCAAUAGGAAAUUGCCUAGCUGAGCACCAGUCACAGUUUGCUCCCUGUAGGCUGGAUUUCUCCUGUGACAUACAAUGUGAUCACACUCAAAUGCAGUCUCCUGGGCAUAUCCCAUUGUGCAGUACUGAAGCCAAGAUGUCUGUCUGCCCACAGACAAAUCAGGAGUUGCUGGCCUAAAGUUGAAACGGAGAUCUCGGAAUGCUAAGUAAACUGCCUGCUUCUCAGAGCGAUCCCCUCGAAGCUUGGAUGUCAUUAAUCAGUAUACUACUGCCGCUUGUCCCUGCAACAGGGCAGAAUAUGGUUUGCUUCACUGCCCAUCAGAUGCAGCUCUCUGGUAUGUUUGUGCUGUCUCUUCUAACCCCACCUGCUUCUUCAGUGCUGAUGCUGAGCUCUCUUGAACCCUGGUAGCUCUCCUCAGUGCCUGCAAACAGCUUAUUUUUUUGUAAAAUGCAAUGGCUGCUUGCAGUGAAGUUUGAUUUGGAGCAGUUGCGUGAGAUGACCUGGAGUAUAUUGUCAUGCCCCUGUUUUGCUGUGUGUCCAGAGGCAAGGUCUUUCCCUGCAGAGCUGCAUUUUCCCCGAUGAAAGAAGAGAGAGGCGCAGGAAACUUUUGUGGUUUGUGCCUUGGUUGAUAUUCACAGUCUUUUGCUUCAGCUCAGGAGGAUUUGUGUGUCUGAAAGCUCUUCUGUUUUCCCUAGCUGUAUCAUUUGUCUAAUACCAGCUGUUACCUUUCCCUGAGAGUCCUGCCUCAAGGUCAACAGCGGCUUACCAAAAUAAUAGGAGCCAUUCUCUUCUACUCUCCGUGCAGCCCUGUGCGUCUCUGCUUGCCCACUCACUGCUAUUUCUUGCAGCAACCCUUUGUCUUAUUUUCUGGCAAAUGUUCUUGAUCCAUGCUAGGGCAGUAAAGAAAAGCAAAGGAAAAGUGCUGGCAAAUCUGUGGUUAAAGAAGGUUCGCAUGGAGGUAUCAGACGAAGGGCCUUCCUUUUCAACAGCUGAGCCCAAUAAGAAGCAUGGCUUGUAGAAGUGCUGCAUGUGUGGAAAGCACAGCUCCUGAGGCAGGUGGCAGCCAGUGCUCACAUCUGUUUAAUAAUGCACGUUGUGUGGGGUGGCUGAGCGCUCGGUUUCCAUCAUCACAACCGUAUGGCCUUCAUGUUUUUUUAAAGUCUCAGGCCCAGCCUUUCACUCUGGUGCCAUGUGGGUGCAUUGGAGCCGCCGAGCCCUGGCCAUUCUUUCAAAGGGCUGGGCUCAGGCUGGCGGGCUCAGGCUGGGCCUGCCCCUGGGUGCCAUCUUAGGGCGGGCGCCAUCUUGGGGCACUGCCCUUGGCUCUGAAGUGGCCCCUCAGUGGGGCCAUCCCUGGACCCAUGACCUUGUGGUGAAGAGGUGGGUCAGUGGUGCAGAGCAUGUCUUCAGAGCAGGUGGAAAAUGUAAUCCAAGGCAAGGGUAUCCCUGCUUUUUCAGUCUGUGUACAGCAGACAAGUGAUACUGGACCAUUCCCUAGACACUCCCCGAGUGCCUAUUUUACCCGGCUUCUCUGCUAUGUCCGAUCUGCUCCCUGGCCUCUGGGAAGCUUCCUGACUGCUUACCCCAGUGAUCCAUCAUAUGACCCCGCUGUGGCAAUGUGAUACAGCUUUAGCUGCACUAAUCAGCUUAGCUUGCUCCCCGCUUGUCGUCUUACUUCAGGAAAAACUUUAUGCAGUGCCUGGGUAGGGCUGCUCAUUCCAAAGGAUUUAAAUCCAAGGUGAAAAGUAGCAACACAGACUUUUUCUUUGUUAUUUUGUAGACAGGAUUCAUUUUAUCAUUGCAGCUUCUAACUCAUCAUUCCUCUAGGAGUAGCUGAGCUUUUCAUGAUACACCUAGGUUUCAGUUGUACAGUAAGAUCCCUGUCUCUGUUAACAGGGAAAAAAAAGGAAGCCCCCCCUGAAAAAAAAACAAAAAACCCACAACAAAACAAACCGACAGUAAUGAGUGCUUUGGCCGAAGCAUUUGAGAGGUGCUCAGUCAUCCAAAUGAACUUAGAGACUGCAUCACUUCCCUCCUUUCUCUUCCCAGCUUGAAGCAAAUUGGGCUCUAGAGAAAAGAAUAUUGUUUGUUGCAGGGGACUGGAAACUUUCACCUUGAGCCUCAAGGGGGAUUUUAGAUAAGACAGCAGGAAAGAGGAGGACUUUUGGUAAACACAUUUUGGAAAUACAUUUUUUUUUUUUUUCCUCUCCACAGAGAGACAUUUCCAUGCUGGAGUGCUGGGAAAAGUCAGAAUUUGGUUGAGAAGUGACAGCCCAGCCUCCAUCUUGUUAGCUAGUCAGCCAGUGAUGCACGUGGGAGAAAGUAUGCUGAUAUCUAAGUCUCCAUUAGGUGAGGGCAAAUCAACUGUACUAUAGGGUGAAAGAAUAACUGAAUAUGCUGCUGUAUAAGAGAAGGAUCUGGCAAAAACUGAGCACCUUCCAAAACCUGAGAACCACAACUGCUGGCAGUUUGUCAUGAGAAUCUCAGCCCAUCAGGAGACGGUGAACACCCAGCACGCUUCCAGGACAGGGAACCUCUCCAGACCUGCCUCAGGGUUUUCCCAUCUCAGCUGCUGCAGCAGCCUCUGCUCCCAGGCUUCUGAAACACCAUCCAGAUACAAAAGGAGGAUCUAAAAAGUCCCUGUUUGCCACUUCUCCAGCCCUUUCCCCUCUCUAAGAGGCCUGUCCCUGAGAGAGUUAAUGAUCCUGCUUUCUCAGGAGGUGAAAAGAUACUUCCGUGUAGCAUCCCAGGGGAGAUAUGGAACUGCCAGGAGUAGCAGAAGACUUUGAACAUCCUCAAGGUUUUGUACUUGCGUUGUCCUCUUAGCACCCGUGACUUGAAUAUAGUCUGGAACUGAUUAACUUCACUUCGAUCUCUGGAAGGGAAUGUUCUUCCAGCAGUUAAAUAUUCUCUCAGCAUUGCACAUGGACCAGACAUUACAGAGGCUAGGGCUGCAUUUGCAUUUUUUCCUCAUGAACUGAAAGAGAAAGGAAUAUCCUCCAGUAUUUCAGUGCUGCCAUUUCCAUCCUUCGUGGUGGUCCGGUGCCAAAUUCAAGCUGGCUAUCCUGUUAGCUUCAGCAGCAUUCCCCCAAGCCCUAUGGCCAUGAGAUUUGCAGCUCACACAGCAGGGAACCCCUGCCGCACACACGACAAAUACUUUGGUUCCAAAGUACAUCCUCAGAGAACACUAUGAAUCACAUUUCUGAGAAACACAGUAUCUCUAGCACAUAUAAAUGCCUUUGUGUGAUAUUGCAUUAGGAGAGGUAGAGCUCCCCUACUCCAGCCUUCCACCUGUGGGAUGACAGUGGGGAUAAAAGUGAGUUAGGGAGCACUACAGUGAAGUGGUUAAACUGGGAAAAUCUGAAGCAUCAGUACGAGCUUUUAGAAGUAUCCCUAACUUCCCUCCAGCUCCUGUCUGCAGUACACACUUGUGUGUGUGCCUUUGGUGUGCUGAUACAGCCAACAGGGAAAUAUCACCUCCUGCUGCUGCUGCCUAGCAUCAAACUGGGGGCUGGGGCAUUAUGCUGCAUUCUGGGGAAAGAGAGCAGAGUGGGCUCUCUGACUCCUUCCAUGUGAAGCUGAAGAACUCACUGAGGAAGCAGUUCAGCUUAUGAAGUACCCUAAGAGACCUUUCCAUAGGAACUAUGCUCAUGGCUGCUCUGUCCUGGCUAUGGCAGGUCAGGGAGAGCUGCUUGCCACCCCAGGACUAGACCUUCCCCAGGCCCCCAGCACACCAGCAAGCCACUGCUGCUGUGUCUGUGCAGGGAGGAGGGGAGGAAGCUCGGAAGGUAUUUUGGCUCUGUACAGGGCUGAGCAAACAGCAGCAUUUGCCUGAUAGUGACCAACUGCCUAGGAAUAGGUGCAAUCUCUGGCCAUGGUGAUGACAUCCCUGCUGCUCCUCCUGGCACAGGGAGUCUCCUGUUUCCUCUGGCUCAGGCAGGGGCUCUUUUUUUUUUUCUAUGUGGUGCUCAUCUGUUUGCUUACUAUUUCAGGCACGGGUGACAGCAGUCAAAAAAACAUUCCACUGUACUCAGUUAAUCCAUAGGAAAAUCCCAUGCUGGUACGCAAAAUGUGGAGUCUAUGCUUACGCAUUUUCCCCCACGGGCCUUGGGCAAUGGAAAUUUUCUCAAGCUCCAUUCAUUAACAAAAUAGACGAGCAGUUAUGUAAGAUCAUGUGAGGGAAGUGGUUGGGCUUUGGUCAAUGGAAGAGUUAGUCACACAUCAAUGAGCUUGAUGAGCUUGGGAAGAAAUAUGGAGACGCUUUUCUUAUUCCAAGACUGAAAAAGGGAGAAUUUUAGCCUCAAAUCUUCAUUUUAUCCUAAGCUCAGGCACCACCUUUACAUUCUGGGCAUUGCAGGAGCGCUGUUGUACUUAAGCAAAAGCAGAGUGUUGAGAUCUGUUGAGACCUCCUUCUUUUUCCCUUCCCAGGUCUCUCACCUAUGCUCUGAAAGACUUAGUCAACUACCUCUUGAUUUUGGGGUGCAAUUGAGGUGCUGCUUCCCUCCAGUCCAGCCAGUCUGCCCUGGGAGUGCUCUGAGCGUAGGUAGAUUGAACACUGUAGUAAUAUUCGGUGGCCACAGAGCAAUUAAAAUGUGCACCAGGGCUGUCAGGAACCAUUAGGACAUUUGAUUGGGGGAGGAUUUUCAAGCAUCUCAUCUCAAACCUGAUCUUCUUCAAAGUUUGCUCCUGAUUUGGACUGUUGUCUCUCCUACUUUGAAUCAGAGACGAUAACAUCAUGCUGAGUUUCUCUGGGAGUGAUCAUAGAGAAAGCAGGAAAUAUAGGGAACCGGUCUACUCAAUUAGAAGGGAACUGGUGUGCUCAAUUAGAUCUGGUCUGGAACAGUAUGGUCCCACUCCUCACUGGUUCUCAUGCUCUCUCAGCACUGGGAGCCGUGCCAAGUGUCCUCCAGGACCCCGAGCUGAGUUUACCCUGGCCCUUCACUCUUCCCAGCUUCUGCUUUGAGGCUUGCAGAUCUGACUUUUAGACAAUGACAUUUUACAGAAGGCAAUCAAAUAAGCUUUUUUUUUUUUUUUUCCUUCUUCAUCUGCACUAAUCCCUGCAUGCUGAAUAACCAGUUGCUUGUGUCCUUUCACCUUGCAGCCAGCCUCCUGAAGGUCAUUGCACUAGCUGAGCAGCAAAGCUUGGCUGGCAGCCUCCACAAGACAUGGAGUGGCAGUUGCCUAGCAUGACCUAUUGGGAGCACUCAUGGCCUAAAGAGUGCAGAGGAGGCCUCAAAAAGAAACUGGUGUGGGGCAGGUAGGAAGGAUAUGGGCAACAGGGUAUAGCUAAAGCACUGCUAGAUGCAUGAGGACUGGGAAUAAGUGAGAGCUGUGUGUGAAUUGCACAAACCCAAGUCCCUCUCGCAUCCACUGCUCUACCUUGAGAGCUGAGAUUGUGAAACCUUGGAAACGGGCUGCGUAGAAGUGCUCACAGACACAUGCUGCUGCUGCUGGCACUGGGCAGGGCAUCCCAACCCCACAUGGGCAUUCAUGGUGCAUGCUUGGUCCUCAGUCAAAGCACAGUUGUCUUGCCAAGUGGAUGCUUUCCAGAAGGAGCUGCAUUCCUGACCAUGGAGAGCUGAAAGGACUGCAAAUGGGAUAUGCCUUAAAAUAGACAGAGAUAUAGGAACGGAGCUCAUUUCCCAGGCAGCGAGGACACGUGCUGACAUCUCAGGCGUUUGCUCAGAGGGAGGGGCUGCUAAAACUGCAGCUGACAGCCUUGGCUGCAAGUGUCACUGGUUGCCUUAGGGCAAUUUGCACUACCUUAAAGGAUAUUUGUUGAGAGUGGUUUGUUUUUUGUUUUUUUGUUUUUUUGUUUGCCAGUAAGAUUUAUCUCUGCCUCUCUGUAAAGCAAACAGAGCGAGAAAUAGAUUUCGCUUCCAUAAAACUGUCAAGGUGUUGAGUAAAAAGAUGUGUCAUGAAUUGGGAUAAAAAGUCUUAAUCUCUACCUUUUCAAAGAACUGACAUUUCGCUAGGAAAAAAAAUGCUCUCCUUGUUCAAUGGAAAUGUUUUAUUUCGGCAACCUUCAAAUGUUUUCUUUAGAGCCAUUCAGACGUGGUUAGCCUUCUGCUUUUUAAUGACUAAUUUACCUAUGGUGAAGACCUUUUGACUUCAAAAUACAUCUGAAUGUUACGGUGCCCACAGAAGGGAUCCCCUGAGCAGUACUUCAUGCUGAGAUAUCACCUGGAAGCAGCACUUCCCUUGGAAAUCAUUUGGAAGUGAUAAACUUCCAUUAAAACUUGAAAAACAAAAAGAAGUUUGGCAGAAGGUUCCCAGCAAAUCCUACUGACACCUGUAUCUUUGAGCUGCAAAGCUGGCAGUUUUGUGACUGAGUGGUGUUGGGCAGCAAGGCAGAGCUCUGUGACCGAUUGCAGCCAGAGAACUCAAUGAGAUUAAUCUCUUUGGCUGCCUUUGCUACAUACUUUGGCUUUGCUCUUUUAAAUAGUUGUUACAUGGUCCCCGUGAAACAAUAUGCCACAGUGUCUGUUGUUUCUGCAAAACACUGUGUGCAGUGUAUGCAAAGCGCUGUUGGGACAGUGCUGGGCAGGUAGGAAGAAACAUCCAUGGCAACUCAGAUGUCGCUGAUGGAGAAACCCAAGCUCUGGCAGGUCGGAGCACAACAGAAGUGAGCAGAAGAAUGAGAAAUCAGCUUUCCCAUACUGCCCAUCUUGGGCUGAGCUCUCCAGCCAGCACAGUCCUACCGCCUCGCAGCGCUGGCUGCAAUGUAUGGCACCAGGCGACCGUGUGAGUUAAUUAUUAAACAGAAAGGCGUCAUCGGUCCCCUUGCCACUGCUGUCCCUCCCCUAAAUAUGCUGCGUGGUGGAAAAACGUUCGUGUGCAAUAAGAACAAAGAAACCUUUUCAGGAUGAGCAGAUUUUCCUUUGCUGGAGAGCUGCUCCCACUUUGCCUCUCUGGAGCUGGGAGAGCAAUGCACUCGCUCUCCAUAAAGGUGGAGCUCAGGAAAGAGAUGAAAAGGACAUAGAGACAAUCACGGCACUGAUUUCCGUGAAUAAUCUCCCCAGCUGUUAGCCCAAGCCAUUUCCUUAUCAGGGAGUACUGUAAUAGCAGCGUUUCAGAGUCUGGAAAGGGAACAUUUUGAAGUUAGCUUUGGCAUUUCAAGGCUAUCACUAUCUUCACCGAGCUUCCCUGGACUUCUAGAUAAAAUAUUAACUCUGGACUGGGUGCAGAGGCCCCAGCAGGCUGUAAAGCAGUGGUACAAGGGAAGAGACAGGCUCUGCGACAGAGAUGGUGACAUAGCAUCCAGGCCUGAAAGACUAUCAUGUGGCUAGUUUCUUCCAACAGACAUGCGUACUGCCUCC